RNAcentral lists this ribosomal RNA (253 nucleotides) under uncultured bacterium. Its description in RNAcentral is "partial 16S ribosomal RNA". It matches the Rfam family "Bacterial small subunit ribosomal RNA", at positions 524 to 776 of the family's 1533-position model. The record is from RNAcentral.
UACGGAGGGUGCAAACGUUGCUCGGAAUCACUGGGCGUAAAGCGCACGUAGGCGGCUCGAAAAGUCGGAUGUGAAAGCCCUGGGCUCAACCUAGGAAGUGCAUUCGAAACUGCCGAGCUUGAGUACGGGAGAGGGUUGCGGAAUUCCCGGUGUAGAGGUGAAAUCCGUAGAUAUCGGAAGGAACAUCAGUGGCGAAGGCGGCUAUCUGGACAACAACUGACACUGAGGCACGAAAGCGUGGGGAGCAAACAGG